UGGGGAAUUUCGGACAAUGGGGGCAACCCUGAUCCAGCAAUGCCGCGUGUGUGAAGAAGGCCUUCGGGUUGUAAAGCACUUUUGUCCGGGAAGAAAUCGCACCUGAUAAUACCGGGUGUGGAUGACGGUACCGGAAGAAUAAGGACCGGCUAACUACGUGCCAGCAGCCGCGGUAAUACGUAGGGUCCAAGCGUUAAUCGGAAUUACUGGGCGUAAAGCGUGCGCAGGCGGUUGUGCAAGACCGAUGUGAAAUCCCCGGGCUUAACCUGGGAAUUGCAUUGGUGACUGCACGGCUAGAGUGUGUCAGAGGGGGGUAGAAUUCCACGUGUAGCAGUGAAAUGCGUAGAGAUGUGGAGGAAUACCGAUGGCGAAGGCAGCCCCCUGGGAUAACACUGACGCUCAUGCACGAAAGCGUGGGGAGCAAACAGG
Molecule: ribosomal RNA, 429 nt
Filed under: Bacillota bacterium
Lineage: Bacteria; Bacillati; Bacillota
Description: Firmicutes bacterium partial 16S ribosomal RNA
Rfam family: Bacterial small subunit ribosomal RNA
Source: RNAcentral